AUACUUACCUGGUAGGAGAGAUACCAUGGUCACAACGGUGGUUUUCCCAAGUUGAGGCUUAUGCAUUGCACUCCCCAUGUGCUGACCCCUGUGAUUUCCCCAAAUGUGGGAAACUCGACUGCGUAAUUUGUGGUGGUGGGGGAUUGCGUUUGCGCUCUCCCCUG
This is a small nuclear RNA of Pteronotus mesoamericanus, 164 nucleotides long. RefSeq annotates it as U1 spliceosomal RNA. NCBI's taxonomy places the organism in Eukaryota, Metazoa, Chordata, Mammalia, Chiroptera, Mormoopidae. The transcript has a single exon. The record is from RefSeq and is a predicted model, not a curated record.